RNAcentral lists this ribosomal RNA (468 nucleotides) under uncultured bacterium. RNAcentral describes it as "partial 16S ribosomal RNA". It matches the Rfam family "Bacterial small subunit ribosomal RNA", at positions 28 to 507 of the family's 1533-position model. The record is from RNAcentral.
GACGAACGCUGGCGGCGUGCUUAACACAUGCAAGUCGAACGGAAAGGCCCUGCUUUUGUGUGGUGCUCGAUUGGCGAACGGGUGAGUAACACGUGAGUAACCUGCCCUUGACUUUGUGAUAACUUCAGGAAACUGGGGCUAAUACCGGAUAGGAGCUCCUGCUGCAUGGUGGGGGUUGGAAAGUUUCGGCGGUUGGGGAUGGACUCGCGGCUUAUCAGCUUGUUGGUGGGGUAGUGGCUUACCAAGGCUUUGACGGGUAGCCGGCCUGAGAGGGUGACCGGCCACAUUGGGACUGAGAUACGGCCCAGAAUCCUACGGGAGGCAGCAGUGGGGAAUAUUGCACAAUGGGCGGAAGCCUGAUGCAGCAACGCCGCGUGCGGGAUGACGGCCUUCGGGUUGUAAACAGAUUUCGCCUGUGACGAAGAGUGAGUGACGGUAAUGGGUAAAGAAGCACCGGCUAACUACGUG